RNAcentral lists this long non-coding RNA (1050 nucleotides) under Oryctolagus cuniculus (rabbit). Its description in RNAcentral is "lncRNA (ENSOCUG00000030443.1)". Lineage: Eukaryota; Metazoa; Chordata; Mammalia; Lagomorpha; Leporidae. The record is from RNAcentral.
AUGUGUCUGGGGAAAGGCCCUGAAGGGCGGGGGAGGAGGGAAGCUGGCUUGGGCAGGACUUCCUGUCCAAGGCCUCAGUUUCUCCAGCAGGCACCUCAUGACUCUUUUGGCUUCAUCCGGCUCAGAGAGUGGGGGAGGCACAGCAAAGGCCCUGGCGGCACUUCUUCCUCCACGCCAACAAGGACUGCAAGACAGAGUCCACGGCCCCAGCAGAGGAUGGGACCCCAGCGCGCGCCUGCACCUGCUCCCCAGCGGCUGGCCAAAGACAACGCCCAGCUCAGGGGGCCUUGUCUCGGUCCUGGCCGUCACUACCUCUGUUCCCUAGUCCCCGUUAAUGUCUGCCCCUGGGGUGUAUGUGUGUGUGUCUGUGUGUGUGACUGUGUGUGUGUGCCUGUGUGUGUCUGUGUGUGUGCCUGUGUGUGCCUGUGUGUGUGUAUGUGUGUAUGUCUCUGUGUGUGUAUGUGUGUAUCUGUGUGUCUGUGUGUCUCUGUGUGUGUGUCUGUGUGUGUGCAGUUCCUGUUUGAGGCUUUCAGAGGGUGUGGUAAGAAUCAAAUAGGAAAGGGCUUUGAAGAGGAUAAGGUUCCACUCAGUCUUAAAGGAUUAUUAAUUAGCCAAUUCCUUGAAAGAAAAUCCCAGUGGGAACUUUCUCAGGCCCUGGAGGGGUGUGUCCUGGAGAUCAUUUCAGAGUUACCCGGUGGAACGUUUCCACCUGGCCCGCAGACUGGCGAACCCUUGUACCGGACAUGCGUUCAGCCGGAUCCUACCGGUACCAGGCUGGGUCAGAUACGGCCUCUGGGCAUUGGCCUAAAAUGUUCCCACGUUAGUGAGCUAUUCACAGGACCAUUAAGUGCCCAAAGCCUGUCCCUGCCACACUCACUCCAAUUUGAUUGCAGUACAGAUGGUCCCCUCCUUAUGAUGUUUUUGCCAUCAGGAUGGUGUCAGAGUGACACACAUGCAGUAGAAAUCCUGCUUGGAACUUUGAGGUUUGAUCUUUUGUUUUUCCCCAAUGUGGAAAAAAAAUGUCCCAAUGUGGGCUUUCAAAAAAUUUAA